GCCAGGSRKGGSUGCUAUAAUGCAGUCGAGCGGACAGAUGGGAGCUUGCUCCCUGAUGUUAGCGGCGGACGGGUGAGUAACACGUGGGUAACCUGCCUGUAAGACUGGGAUAACUCCGGGAAACCGGGGCUAAUACCGGAUGGUUGUUUGAACCGCAUGGUUCAAACAUAAAAGGUGGCUUCGGCUACCACUUACAGAUGGACCCGCGGCGCAUUAGCUAGUUGGUGAGGUAACGGCUCACCAAGGCAACGAUGCGUAGCCGACCUGAGAGGGUGAUCGGCCACACUGGGACUGAGACACGGCCCAGACUCCUACGGGAGGCAGCAGUAGGGAAUCUUCCGCAAUGGACGAAAGUCUGACGGAGCARCGCCGCGUGAGUGAUGAAGGUUUUCGGAUCGUAAAGCUCUGUUGUUAGGGAAGAACAAGUACCGUUCGAAUAGGGCGGUACCUUGACGGUACCUAACCAGAAAGCCACGGCUAACUACGUGCCAGCAGCCGCGGUAAUACGUAGGUGGCAAGCGUUGUCCGGAAUUAUUGGGCGUAAAGGGCUCGCAGGCGGUUUCUUAAGUCUGAUGUGAAAGCCCCCGGCUCAACCGGGGAGGGUCAUUGGAAACUGGGGAACUUGAGUGCAGAAGAGGAGAGUGGAAUUCCACGUGUAGCGGUGAAAUGCGUAGAGAUGUGGAGGAACACCAGUGGCGAAGGCGACUCUCUGGUCUGUAACUGACGCUGAGGAGCGAAAGCGUGGGGAGCGAACAGGAUUAGAUACCCUGGUAGUCCACGCCGUAAACGAUGAGUGCUAAGUGUUAGGGGGUUUCCGCCCCUUAGUGCUGCAGCUAACGCAUUAAGCACUCCGCCUGGGGAGUACGGUCGCAAGACUGAAACUCAAAGGAAUUGACGGGGGCCCGCACAAGCGGUGGAGCAUGUGGUUUAAUUCGAAGCAACGCGAAGAACCUUACCAGGUCUUGACAUCCUCUGACAAUCCUAGAGAUAGGACGUCCCCUUCGGGGGCAGAGUGACAGGUGGUGCAUGGUUGUCGUCAGCUCGUGUCGUGAGAUGUUGGGUUAAGUCCCGCAACGAGCGCAACCCUUGAUCUUAGUUGCCAGCAUUCAGUUGGGCACUCUAAGGUGACUGCCGGUGACAAACCGGAGGAAGGUGGGGAUGACGUCAAAUCAUCAUGCCCCUUAUGACCUGGGCUACACACGUGCUACAAUGGACAGAACAAAGGGCAGCGAAACCGCGAGGUUAAGCCA
This 1250-nucleotide ribosomal RNA is filed under the name Bacillus subtilis. Its description in RNAcentral is "bacterial SSU rRNA". It matches the Rfam family "Bacterial small subunit ribosomal RNA", at positions 35 to 1270 of the family's 1533-position model. The record is from RNAcentral. Lineage: Bacteria; Bacillati; Bacillota; Bacilli; Caryophanales; Bacillaceae.